Molecule: RNA transcript, 6335 nt
Organism: Spinacia oleracea (spinach)
Lineage: Eukaryota; Viridiplantae; Streptophyta; Magnoliopsida; Caryophyllales; Amaranthaceae
Exons: 8
Source: RefSeq, a predicted model, not a curated record
CAUUUCCAAACUCAUUUCAUAAUAACCCUAAGCCUUCCCUCCCUUUUAUUUACUGACCUUCCUAUCUCUCUCUUCUUUACCUAACACCCCAAACUUUCUGGAUUAUUCAUCCCCUUUCUCUCGUAUCAUCCCACCAUACUCAAGAACCCUAAUUUUUUUUUGUUAUUUGACUUUCUCUCUCCUCCAAAAACCCAGAUCUGAAAUUAAAAUCAUGAAAUUUCACCUCCAAAAUAUCUAAAUUCAUAAUCUAGUGUUGUUCUUGGUAUUUUUAAGCUUUCGAAUCGAGACCUCUAUUUCUCAUGAUGAAGGGUAAAAAGCGACAGAUUUCAGACACUUUCAAAGACAUCUAUGGAAAUGUUUACUACGAGUUUGAAGAUGUUGAUCCUGAUCCAGAAUGGGAACGGAUUCGAGAGAAGCUAGAUCGUGAAAGAUGCGGAUCUAAUGACACUAAAGAAGAAAACAAAAAAAUGGUGUAUUUGAGAUUGGUUGCAAAUACUCAAAAGAAGAGAGCAAAACCACAGUCACCUGAUAUUGAAAGUCUUAGAUGGGACUUGGACGAAAUCCCUGAAGUACCAGAUACACCCGACAAUCCGGGCGUUAAUGACAAUCCGGGUGUUGGGUUCCCCCACAAAUUUCGUAUUGGUGUCUUGUUUCCUCCGACUACUGAAAGUCUACCUCAAUCUCACAAAGUCCCUAGUACAAGUACAACCCCUGCUUAUGCAGUACAAAUCUCUCCACUCAAACAAGCGUCUGUGCUGAAAAUUGAAUACGAUUCUGAUGAGACUCAACCAUGAACUCCAUGUAUCAGGUGUAUUUGUUGCUUACAUCUUGCUGGUUGUUAACAUUUCUGUGGCUUUGUUGACAUUAUGUUGGUUGCUUACAUUUAGUUUGGCUUUGUUGACAUUAUGCUGGUUGUUGACAUUUUCUGUGGCUUUGUUGACAAUAUGUUGGUUGCUUACUUUUUGUGUGGCUCUGUGGGUUCAGUUAUACGUGGUAAUGUAGUGUUUAAAUUGGUGUAAUCCUCGGUGAUGUGUAGACAUUUUCUGAAAGGGAACACUAACACAUUCGCUGGAGUAAUUUGUUUUAACUUCAUAAUUUUGAGGUCUGAAUGAUUGUAGGUGCAUCUAAAUGUUGGUAAUAUGCGUACAUUAUGUUUAAAAUUGAGGGGCCCAAUGAUCAUGAUCCUCAAUGAUGAAAUGGAGGUGUUUUAUAUCUGAAAUACCAAUGUUUGGAUUAUUCUACUGUUUACCACCUUAUAAAUUAGAAUACGUGACCAAAUUCUCCAAUACAAUGUGUUAGAAGUCCCUUUAUGAUGUUAAUAGUGUCAUUUUAAUUCUGAGAGGACUCUGUCAUUUCUGUGAUCAUAAUGUGAGAGUGUAACACCCCGACAAUUCUCUCUUUUCUAAAAUAACCUUUUAAUAUAAAACGUAGAGAAUUAUCAAGGCAUUAUCGCCCGUGUGAAAACGUAACGGCUUAUUCAGAAUUUUGCAGCGGAAAACAUAAAACUAACUUUAGGUUUAUAAAUAAUCGAUUACAGGUUUAGUCCCAAAAAAUCAACCAACGAAAAUAAGGAAAUAUAAAUAGUACGACAAGUUUAAAGUCCAAUUAAACAAACCCAAGUCAACUUAGCAAAUCAAAACUAAAUACAAGCUCUCUAUUCCCAAUCCCAAUGAUGCAACAUCUUCAAACCUGCAGAUGGACAAUGCUUAUUGAUCCUUAGAGAUUGCUCACCAAAGAUUGGGUCAUCACAGGAUCAAAAAGGCAUAGCCAUGAUCAACAUGCACAAGCAAAAGCACGUAAUCAGCAAAGCUGGGUACUACAUACUAAAUCAAUAAUAAUCCUAACAUGAUUCUAUUAAACGAACAACCCUAACAUGAUACUAAUGAACACAAACAAAGGCAGACAAAACAUGAUAGUUUGACGACCAUACUUGACCAGACUAGACUAGGCUAGACUUUUAGCAAUAAUAUUAUUUUAGUUGAAAUAGACAAUGGACCGAGUUGACCGUCCGACAGCCUUCACUAAGGAAGACGAGGUACGGGCGCGACUCCGUAACCUCGGAGACCUGCGAUAUCGAGGAACAUUUGAAUAAAAAUAGGACACGGUGAUCAAUCCGGUCCGAGAUAAAGGCCAUGGGCUACCACCAUGAACCCCAACUCCUGUUUUUCCGUCACUUUAGACGUGCACAGUCUAAAGCUAUUGCUACUCAGUUUCACUUUACAUGAUUUACAAAUUGAGACUCUGUUAUGACUCAACAAUCACAUAAGGCAUAUAAUCCACAUUCGUUCACAACUGUUUUUAUCUUGGAAUUAAGUACGUGAUCAUAAAGGCAUCAAUCAAGACUCAUUCCAAUUUACCCAACCUUUCCUUUAACCAUGAUCAACCCUGUAUAUGGGUAUAAAGUCUCAACUUACUAAACAAGGUCCACCGCCCUCAUAAAGUAGUGAAAAGCUAGAAAGGGAACAAUAAUCAAUCGAUCCAAACCAACAUAUAGAAUAAUCUAGUGUUCCCAACCAACAUGUUUGUAUCAAUCACAUACUAACAUGUUACAAUUCUCAUAAUGCAAUAUAAGUUCAAUAUGUCCGUCCAACAGUAUUAAACAUGCAAUUUCAACAUAACCAAGCUCAACAACAAAUUCAACAUGGUUUCAACAAUUAGCACACAUUCCAAGCACACAGGUAUGUACGUACCUUGUGUAAACAAACUGAUAGGCCACUUUAACACUUUCAAAAGUCGCCUAAAGAGAAUUCUCUGCCUAAAACAACCAACAAGGAUUUCCAAUCAACUUCAAAUCAUUCACAACUAUACUAGAGCAUUCUAAAUACAUCCUAAACAUGUUCAGAACAUUCCCCAAUAUCAAAACUUGAAUGUUUAAUUUCCUAGCAUAACAAUUAUUGAAUUAAUUAUUGAAAUUCGUUGAAAACUCUUCGCAAACAUCAUACUUUAAAUUUUCAGCAAUAUGAAAUCGUUUAAAGCUUUCCCAAAACCAGAUUAUCAUGCUUAGAACAUAAAAAUAAUAAUUUUAAUAAUACAUAACCAUUCUAUCAUGAUUAAAACCUUAAAAAAAUCAUGUUUUAAUAAUUAAAAUCCUUAUUUUAAUUCAAUUAUAUAAAUCUGAAAAUUAAAUUAUUAAUUAUGCAAAGUAUAUAAUCUGAAAUUCCUAACUUUAUAAUAAGACUAUAAUUUAAUUCAAGAAACAUGAAUAAACUAAUAAAACAUAUUUAAUAAAACAUGCUUAAAAUAUUUAACUAUCUUAGGGUUUGAGAAAUUUACCAAAUGGAGAGGAGAGAGGGAGGCUGCCGGCGGCAGGAGCGUGGCUGGGCGGCACACGGUGGUGCGCUGGUGGCAGCGAGGGUGGUGGAUGGGCGAAUGAGCAAGGACGCAGAUUAACAGCCACGAAAAAAGAGAAAAAGAAAAACGAAGGAGGAAGGAGGGAAGAAAGGGAAGGAGGAACUAUCGUGCUGGACGGCGAGGCUGCGGCGUCGGUGGCUGAAGCAAGGCGGUUCACGGUGGUUGCUGUAAACAUGCCACGAUUAAGGAGAGAGCAAGCAACGAAAUAAAGAAAGAAAAAGAACGAAAGAGAGGAGGAAAGAGGAGACUACCGGACAACGGAAGGCGGCGGCGAGGGACGCCGGCAAUCGAGCAGGUGACUGGUGGUGGUGGCGGCGUGAGAAACAACAAGCAAGGGAAGGAGCAAUGGCAGUUACGUGAACCUUGAAGGAGGGUUUGUUUUGUUUUUUUUUUUUUUUUUUUUCUGUUUUCACGUGAAAGUGAAGAGAAGGGAGGAGAGGAGAGUUGUGUUUUAUUGUUUUGGGCUUCACCCAAUUGGGCUAGAAAUAGAAUUUAGCUUAGCAUUUGAAUUCAACACCGCUUACGAUUGUUUUCCAAAUUCAAUCUUUUUUGUAAUUCGAAUUCUUUACGAAAUAAAAUUCUAAAAUUAUUUUUGAUUUCGUAAAUUCUUAAAAUAUUUAAAAUGCUUAUGAAUAAAUAAAUAUACAUUAAAUAUGUAUAUUUAUUACUAAAAUUCACCAGUAUAAUUUAAAUAUAAUUAAUUUUUCGUAAAACUAAAUUAAUAAACUUAUAAAUAUACGGGGGAUUACAAUCUACCCCUCUUAAAAGAAGUUUUGUCCCGAAACUUGACACAAGAACUCACACAAUUUUCGAAAGUCUUUAAUUCAUUCUUACUAGCACUACUACAGAAAUGUCAUUUAAUAGCGUUUAUUUAAUAGCGCUUUUGCCUCUUCAGCUAUCAAAAAUUUAAAAAACAACAUAUUAUAGCGCUUAUCUAAAAAGCGCUGUGGUAUGUUCACAUAUUAUAGCGUUUAGAUCUUCUGCGCUAUCAUAUUACCCGUUUAUUAUAGUAAAAAAGACUUCCCGUUUAUUAUAGGGAACAAAAUGUUAAAACGAGUAAAAAGUUAACCGCCUAACUCUUUCUCUCCUCGGAUUCUCUUCAGUCAAUCUGCAAAACCUCAAAACCCCAAAAGUCUCAAUGGACGCCGAAACCCUCCUACCAAAGUCCUUCACACGGCGACGAGUUCCUUCAGGCGGCGGCGAUUUAUUUCAGAUGGCGGCGUUUUCUCUCGCCCUGCGCCCUACGAUGCUUCUUCUCACUACGAAAUUGAAUUUUAAGGUAAUUCAUCCACAAAAUUUGCGGAAUUUGUUGAUUAUGUUUGGUUUAAUUUUGAUUGGGUUAAUUAUGGGCUAUGGGUUUUUGUUCCUCUGAAUUGGUAUACCUAGGUAGUGAGCAUUUAGAUUGUAAUUGGGUUUUGAUUCUUAAUUUUGAUAAUAGGUUGUCGAAUUAUUUGAUUUCAUGAUUGCAUUGGAGCAAAACUUAUGGCUACCAUAAUCCAUUAAUCAAUUCACUCAUGUCAUUCCAUGUAAAUUAAACACUGUAAGAAGAUGAAAUCUGUAAUAACUAUUACAAAGUUAACCCAACUUGUAUAACUAUUACAAAGUUAACAAAAUUUAUGCUUUUUGACUUGCCAAAUUUAGAGAGCAUCUAUGAUCGGCAAGUACUGAGUUGCCCGUCUUUGCUUAGAUUUGAGGUGUUUAAUUAUAAAAAACUCAAGCUUCUUGAGGUCUUGGUGGGACGACAAAAUUGUAUUAUUGAGAUUGUAGGAGAGAAAGAAUGGACUGAUAAAGUGAUUGAGUAUGGUCCAAGCUCACAUUUAAAUAUACUGAAGCAUUAGUUCCUGCAGUGCUAUCUACUCCUAUGUGUUCUUGUGUUGGGUUGCUUGAGGAGGCAGAGAUUGUGGAUGUUACAUACUAUUAUGCUUAGGUAUCUCGCAUCGCCUGGAAGCUCACCAGGUUAUUGACUAUUGUAGCUCAUAUUGGUGGUAUAAUAUUUGUUAAAGUAGUAUCUGGAUUGUUGGAAAAAUGGGUUCAGAAGGUCCUGCACCGUCAGCAGUAACAGACUAACAGUUCAUGUUAAGAAGUUUCAUGGAGUUGCUGAAAAUCCGACAGAGACAAUUGUGCGUAAUCUGAAAGAAUACAUGGAGAAGAAGGGUUUACCAAAAGGGCUGGCUUUAGGGAGCUGCAAUGUUCUUGAAACUGCAGGACUUGGGGCAUUUGCUCCUCUUCAUCAGACGCUGCCAUCUGCCAUUAAUAGGAAUGAUUCAGAAUUGCCAAAUUCUGGGACUGUUAUUUGGGUAUGCAGAGAUCGUAUAAUUCAGGAGGAGUUCAAUUCUCUAAGCCUUUCUAAGUUGCAGAAGUAUUUGACAGAUGAGGAAUACAGUCUCUCUCCCCGUCAGUUUUGCUCAGGUUUUCUUCUGGGAAAUAUGCUUUUUGUCCCUGCUACAAUAUGGCUCUUGGGUUUUAUAUCUUGUUGCGAGAUGUAGACCAAUUUGGUGCUAACUAUAACAGUUUUGCUGGCCGGCCAGUGAGAGAUAGAUGAAGAUAUAUCUCGACUAAAGACUAGUUGUCAGCUUACUAGCUGAUCUUGGCUGCAAUUGAUCAAUCUUGUUCGAGGAUCUCAUAAAUUAAAUCUCCCAGUUUGGGGCUGCAGAGCUACAUGCGGUCUCUUCCUUCAUAGGCGGGAUUGCGUCACAUGAAGUGAUAAAGUACUUUUCAGAUUGUCAGUUUCCAAGUUAUGACAAGGAGCAGAUUGACUAAGUAAGAACCGAAUGGGUGCGCCAUGUUGUUCAACAAUUGUAUAAUAGCUAGGUUAUGUUGAAGGAACAAAAAAAAUAAGACUCUAUUAAUUAAUGUAUUUUACGUAGUUUAAUGUUUAGAAUUUUAUUUUAGAUCUAUGUAAUCGGUUUUAUUAGGGUUACAAUUGCAAAAAUUCUUUUAAUUCAGGUUUGGAAAUUAAUUUUCAACUAUUUACUAUUCUUCAA